Molecule: long non-coding RNA, 2041 nt
Filed under: Homo sapiens (human)
Lineage: Eukaryota; Metazoa; Chordata; Mammalia; Primates; Hominidae
Description: non-protein coding lnc-CKAP2L-1:15
Source: RNAcentral
GGCCUCGCCCUGGAGUCUCGGCACCGUCUGGCCCCGCCGGCUGAUUACAGCCAGAGAUCGAGGGGGACCUCGCUGUCCCCCUAGAGGCCGUCAUGCGGGGUUACAGAGGCUGCGACCAAAGUCAUUCCUAGCUCCUCUCUCGGGGCUCCGGAAAGCCGUCCGCGCCUCCAGCCGCACUUUCAGCGCACGCAGGACCUGCCGCGCCCGGUGGCCACACCCGUCCCUCUGCCGGGUGACGCUGCGGGAGAUCUUGCGCCCUGGGGCUCCGGAUCCAGUUCUGGCACGUUGUUGCACCUGUGACUUGUCCUUGGCCUGGCACUGUCCCUCGCCUGGGGGAAGCGGGGGGGUGGGGGGGGGAUGCUCACGUGGUCGCUUUGCUCCCGCAGUCAUGCACUUGGGUGAAAACAGACUGAAGAGUCACGGGAACCAGCUUGUCUCCCCAGUUAUGGCGCAGAGCUGCAAGGAUGGCUGUGGGUCAUUAAUUUCUCCGUGGCUGACCUGUGUUUGUAACGCCGCAGCUGUUGCGAGGGGGAAGGACACUGCUUCGGAUUCAAAUUCUGACUCCUUGCUGCAGUGUGUCACCUUGAGCCAGUCCCAGAUCUCUGCGUUCUCACAAUUGUAAAAUGUUAACAGAGGCUGCCUACCUUGUGGCUGGAAUUAAAUGAAUUAACGUGUGUGAAUGUGACUAGAAUUCAGUACAUGUUCAGGAAAAGCUGAUUUCCGCUUUGCUGUUACCGUGAAUAUUACUGUUUUAGGGUGUAGAAAAGGGUGGAAGGGGAUGUUAUUGCAUCCUGGAAGCUUAUCCUUUUGAGGUAAAGAUUGAUUUCUGGUCCCCUGCGUGGUAUAUAGUGUAGUUUUGACAUUAUUUAGAUGUGUUAUGCACAUUUGGGUGUUGAUUAUAUGGCUUACGAUCAAGACUAACCAGUCAUGCCGUGGGAGAUUAAGGUCGUGGUCUCUUGUCAGGAUUGUAGUGAGAUUUAAAAAUUCCAGCCAGAAAUACCAGGCUUAGAAUGCUCUGAAGCCCUCCCCACAUUUUUGCCAUCUCUAGCAGGAGGGCACUGCAUAGCAGAAACAAAGACGUUGUAAAUUGUUGCUGCCUGAGUCAUUUAUAGAGGCUUAAACAACCUGAAUGUCCUCUGACCUACCUGUAACAUUUGAUGGAGUUGUAUGAGUAACUUACAAAGCUGUAGGUCCCAAGGUCGGUCUGAAAAAGAAAGUUCAUAUCCGGGAGCACUGACCCCGUAGUGUAAUCCUGGCACCUUAAAACGUACUGCUCCCUCCACCUUCACUUCAAGGUUAUGAAAACAUUGAGUAAAAGGGAUGAUCUGUUCAAAGUCCUUAGUGUUCUGCCAAUUUAAAACAGUAAUUUUCAAAGCAGUUAUUUGCAAGGAAAUUGCCUAGAACUUCUCCCAGUGUGCGGUUGUUUUGUGUGUUUGUGUGUGUGUUUUGUUUGUUUGUUUUCAGUCUGUCCACAGGCGUACUUUUAUAGGUCUGUGAUAGUAGGUAGCUCUUCAAGUUGGCAAACACCUGCUGGACAACCCCUGAGAGAUUCAUCUGAGUGAGAGAGCACUCUCCAGCCCCAUCGGAGUGGGUUUGCAGGGAAAUCAUAAGGAAGAAAUCCUUAUCUUUCCAACACUGAGAUGCUUCUGCCGAAGAGUAGAAUGGGAGUGAGGGGACACGCAAAACGGGCUGCUGCCGGAGGAAGAGGAACAGUGUUGUGGCUCAUGCCAUAUGAAUGGGCUCACUGGCCUGGCCCAGACCCUGACUGCCCACAGGAUCUUUGACAGAGAAACGGAGGCACAGAGAAGGAAGCGGCAGUUAAAGCUGCGAAGAACCUAACAAAUUUCAAGAUUGUAAGUGCCUUUUCCCAGGAUGCCAGCAAGUACUGAGCCUGUAUUUUGAGCUGCAUCAAACCCUGUUGGAAUAAAAAAGGACAUUUCUAGGAGAUCAGUCUUCGAGAUUGGCCCCAGUUUCCCCAGAGUAGGAAGAGGCAGGAAGCCAGAGCACAUGUUCUCUCCAGAAAUAAAGUUGUUGCAGUGGC